AUUGAACGCUGGCGGCAUGCUUUACACAUGCAAGUCGAACGGCAGCGGGGACUUCGGUCCGCCGGCGAGUGGCGAACGGGUGAGUAAUGCAUCGGAACGUGCCUAUCAGUGGGGGAUAACGCUUCGAAAGGAGUGCUAAUACCGCAUAUUCUCUGAGGAGGAAAGCAGGGGACCUUAGGGCCUUGCGCUGAUAGAGCGGCCGAUGUCGGAUUAGCUAGUUGGUGAGGUAAAGGCUCACCAAGGCGACGAUCAGUAGCUGGUCUGAGAGGACGACCAGCCACACUGGGACUGAGACACGGCCCAGACUCCUACGGGAGGCAGCAGUGGGGAAUUUUGGACAAUGGACGCAAGUCUGAUCCAGCCAUUCCGCGUGCAGGAUGAAGGCCCUCGGGUUGUAAACUGCUUUUGUACGGAACGAAAAGGUUUCUAUUAAUACUAGGAGCUCAUGACGGUACCGUAAGAAUAAGCACCGGCUAACUACGUGCCAGCA
This 490-nucleotide ribosomal RNA is filed under the name uncultured bacterium. RNAcentral describes it as "bacterial SSU rRNA". It matches the Rfam family "Bacterial small subunit ribosomal RNA", at positions 30 to 513 of the family's 1533-position model. The record is from RNAcentral.